UACGUAGGGUGCAAGCGUUAUCCGGAAUUAUUGGGCGUAAAGAGCUCGUAGGCGGUUUGUCGCGUCUGCUGUGAAAACCGGAGGCUCAACCUCCGGCCUGCAGUGGGUACGGGCAAACUAGAGUGCGGUAGGGGAGAUUGGAAUUCCUGGUGUAGCGGUGGAAUGCGCAGAUAUCAGGAGGAACACCGGUGGCGAAGGCGGUUCUCUGGGACGGUACUGACGCUGAGACGCGAAAGCGUGGGGAGCGAACAGG
RNAcentral lists this ribosomal RNA (253 nucleotides) under uncultured bacterium. RNAcentral's name for it is "partial 16S ribosomal RNA". It matches the Rfam family "Bacterial small subunit ribosomal RNA", at positions 524 to 776 of the family's 1533-position model. The record is from RNAcentral.